This 463-nucleotide ribosomal RNA is filed under the name uncultured bacterium. RNAcentral describes it as "bacterial SSU rRNA". It matches the Rfam family "Bacterial small subunit ribosomal RNA", at positions 29 to 507 of the family's 1533-position model. The record is from RNAcentral.
AACGAACGCUGGUGGCAUGCCUAAUACAUGCAAGUCGAACGAGAAAGCACUUCGGUGUGAGUAGAGUGGCGCACGGGUGAGUAACGCGUAGGUGACGUGCCUUAUAGUUGGGGACAACAUCGGGAAACCGGUGCUAAUACCGAAUAAGCUUAACGACAUUGAAAAGUUAAGGAAAGGGGCCUCUGGUCUCGCUAUAAGAUCGGCCUGCGUGACAUUAGCUAGUUGGUGAGGUAAUGGCUCACCAAGGCGACGAUCUGUAGCUGGUCUGAGAGGAUGAUCAGCCACAUCGGGACUGAGACACGGCCCGAACUCCUACGGGAGGCAGCAGUGGGGAAUAUUGGACAAUGGGGGCAACCCUGAUCUAGCCAUGCCGCGUGAGUGAUGAAGGCCUUAGGGUCGUAAAGCUCUUUCGCCUGUGAUGAUAAUGACAGUAGCAGGUAAAGAAACCCCGGCUAACUCCGUG